AAAAUCCGCCGACUUUAGAAAUCCCCCC
This 28-nucleotide transfer RNA is filed under the name Linum comptonii. RNAcentral describes it as "partial tRNA-Leu". The record is from RNAcentral. Lineage: Eukaryota; Viridiplantae; Streptophyta; Magnoliopsida; Malpighiales; Linaceae.